Molecule: non-coding RNA, 267 nt
Organism: Salmo salar (Atlantic salmon)
Lineage: Eukaryota; Metazoa; Chordata; Actinopteri; Salmoniformes; Salmonidae
Source: RefSeq, a predicted model, not a curated record
GAUGAGGGGCCAGGAGCUGAUCUAUGCUGCUAUUCCCAUCAAUGAGGCUCUGGCUAAGACCUCACCUCCAGUCUCACCUCUUGCCUGAUCACCAAUGGUCGUCAGUGACAACAGAAUUAGAUGGACUGGAGAUGGUAUUGCCAGCCGGCAUCCUCAGUCAUUUGAUGGGGAGACCAUAAUAGGGUCAAUGUCUCUCUGAGGCUGUACUUCCUCAUGGACACCCAUCAAACACACCCAACGCCAUCACCAUGGCCACUGUCACCAAGG